GAUGAACGCUGGCGGCGUGCCUAACACAUGCAAGUCGAGCGAACGGACGAGAAGCUUUCGCUUCUGAUGUUGGCGGCGGACGGGCGAGUAACACGUGGAUAACAUACCUAUAAGACUGGGAUAAUUACGGGAAACCGGAGCUAAUACCGGAUAAUAUUUCGAACUUCAAGGUGCAAAAGUGAAAGACGCUCUUUGUGUCAGUAAUAGACGAACCCGCGCUGCAUCAGCUAGUUGGUAAGGUAGCGGCUUACCAAGGCAACGAUGCAUAGCCGACCUGAGAGGGUGAUCGGCCACCCUGGAACUGAGACACGGUCCAGACUCCUACGGGAGGCAGCAGUAGGGAAUCUUCCGCAAUGGGCGAAAGCCUGACGGAGCAACACCGCGUGAGUGAUGAAGGACUCCGGAUCGUAAAACGCUGUUGUUAGGAGAGAAGAUAAGUGUUUGUAACUGUGAAGAUCAUGACGGUACCUAAAGAAAAAGCCCCGGCUAACUACGUG
This 497-nucleotide ribosomal RNA is filed under the name uncultured bacterium. Its description in RNAcentral is "partial 16S ribosomal RNA". It matches the Rfam family "Bacterial small subunit ribosomal RNA", at positions 28 to 507 of the family's 1533-position model. The record is from RNAcentral.